CCCCUAGGAGNAAAAAAAAAAAAAAAAGAGGACCGGCUUUUUUAGAGCAAGACAAUCCCAGAGAGAUGAAGUGACUGACCCAAGGUUACACAGAGUGGAAUCUGUAUCUUCUGAUUUCUCUACUGGCCUGCACUCCAUGUUCUGAGGAGGAAUCCUUGAAGCUACUGAGAUAAUGGAACAAUGGAGUAGAUAGUCCAUUAUAACUCAUCUGGGAUUCUUCUCAUCUUCAAGUGACCACAGAAAAAAGGUUGUCCUGCCCCAUUCUGUCCCUUUUGCUGUACCCAUGGUGACUGCAUCAGCCUGAGAAGACUGUGAUGUUACUUCUCUGCUUGAGAUGGUAGGGGACUGGAGAUGGCUCAGCGGUUAA
RNAcentral lists this long non-coding RNA (367 nucleotides) under Mus caroli (Ryukyu mouse). RNAcentral's name for it is "lncRNA (MGP_CAROLIEiJ_G0003892.1)". The record is from RNAcentral. Lineage: Eukaryota; Metazoa; Chordata; Mammalia; Rodentia; Muridae.